CCCAGAGGCCACGCUCCACCCAGACCGUACCACGCACCCCCCUCUUCCCGUCACCCAGCCAGCACCCAGACCCUGCCCAGCUCAGGUGAUGGCGCCUGCUUUUCCACAGACGAUUGGUCUGCCCUAGGGCUCCGUGCCUGCCCCAUUCCCCCUUGCUGAGAUGAAGCCUGCCCCAGCCAGCCCGCUGUCCCUCGUUACCCUGGCACCUGCCCUCGGCGCCUGCCACGCCUGCCUGCUGCCGGGAGCAGCAGACGCUGAGGUCUGAUCUGGGAUUCCCAGGAGGACAUUCUGGGUUGUCCCAGGGGAGAGGAUGGUGAACCUGGGGACCACACGCGGCUUGCAUGGGAGGCGGAACCCGGCAACGAGUUUCUGUUCAAGUUCUGCAUCCCAGCCAGAGAAAGCCUCCCUGGCCCCAUGGAGGAGCUGAUGUGCCUCUGAUCCCAGCCACUGCGCGGGCUCCAGUGGGGAUGAGCUCACCAGGAUGUGGGCUAAUGGGUUAACCCUUUGCGGGCUGCUGGCACAGGCACUCCCGUGAUGUGGCUUUGUCUCAGCUCGGCUCCGCCACUGUUGGAUAAACCUUGUGAAAAAUUAA
Molecule: long non-coding RNA, 592 nt
Organism: Mustela lutreola (European mink)
Lineage: Eukaryota; Metazoa; Chordata; Mammalia; Carnivora; Mustelidae
Exons: 2
Source: RefSeq, a predicted model, not a curated record